GGCAUGAUGCAGGUUUGAAAUGGGUUCUAUUUUUCCAAGAUACCAACGGCCUGCUCUUUAGGGCAAUACCGUCAGCACUUGGGGUUAGUUCCACCAAGGAGUACCAUGUUAAUUCUCUUGCUGUUCCUCGCAAAGCAAAAGAAGCUAUUGGGGGCAUUACCAAACUUACUCAUGCUGAUGGGAGAACAAUGGUGAUUAAUGUUGAAUAUAAUCAACUUGAUCCUCUACUUCGAGCAACUGGUCAUCCUGAAGGAGAUGUCAACUCGGAAACAGGCUAUUCUCCAUUUCCUGGAAAUAUUAACCAGUUGAUUUUGAACCUUGGUCCUUACAUUGAAGAGCUCACCAGAACGCAAGGUGCCAUACCGGAGUUUGUAAAUCCUAAGUA
Papaver somniferum (opium poppy) is the source of this 385-nucleotide long non-coding RNA. RefSeq lists it as uncharacterized. The transcript has 4 exons. NCBI's taxonomy places the organism in Eukaryota, Viridiplantae, Streptophyta, Magnoliopsida, Ranunculales, Papaveraceae. The record is from RefSeq and is a predicted model, not a curated record.